UCCGCCGGUGAACCAGCGGAGGAUCAUUA
RNAcentral lists this ribosomal RNA (29 nucleotides) under Acremonium egyptiacum. RNAcentral describes it as "partial 18S ribosomal RNA". Lineage: Eukaryota; Fungi; Ascomycota; Sordariomycetes; Hypocreales; Bionectriaceae. The record is from RNAcentral.